CAGUAGCCGCGGUAAUACAGAGGGUGCGAGCGUUAAUCGGAUUUACUGGGCGUAAAGCGUGCGUAGGCGGCUUUUUAAGUCGGAUGUGAAAUCCCUGAGCUUAACUUAGGAAUUGCAUUCGAUACUGGGAAGCUAGAGUAUGGGAGAGGAUGGUAGAAUUCCAGGUGUAGCGGUGAAAUGCGUAGAGAUCUGGAGGAAUACCGAUGGCGAAGGCAGCCAUCUGGCCUAAUACUGAGGCUGAGGUACGAAAGCAUGGGGAGCAAACAGGAUUAGAUACCCCCGUAGUCCCUGUCUCUUAUAC
RNAcentral lists this ribosomal RNA (301 nucleotides) under uncultured bacterium. Its description in RNAcentral is "partial 16S ribosomal RNA". It matches the Rfam family "Bacterial small subunit ribosomal RNA", at positions 509 to 807 of the family's 1533-position model. The record is from RNAcentral.